CUCUACAGACACAGAAAGCCCUAGCCCCCCUUCAGAAUCAGUCCUUAGCUUGUGACCUUGGACAAGAACUGGUAGAUGGCAGUUGUGAGUCCCCAGUGUCUGACUUGCUUCUUGAUCGUGAGGUCUCUGUGGGAACAGAGGAAGUGCACAGCCCUGGGUUCCGAAUGGGUGAGUUGCUUCAAAGGGCAAGUGGGGGAAAGAUUUAAUCCUCCCUUCUGAUGUUACUUUUAAUUAAAUUAAAUUUUAAUCUUUAAAUAAAAAGGAAUCUGUGCUCUUAUGCCUGAAGUUGGGGCCAGAGGCGUUUUGCCCUUGGAAGCUUGACUUCUUAGAUGUUCUCUACACACAUACACUCCCUUUUUGAAACCUUUGCUAGGGAAACCUACUAUUCACAAAGGGUGGCUUCUACUUAUUCAGUCUCUUUACACUCCAAUUAUUAGAUGUUUCUCCUGGAGCCAUCUUGCUGAAGCCAUUCCAAGCUUUUCUACUAGCCCCUUUACGAUAUAAAUCCAAUUGGUUAUAUAUCCUUGCUCACUCUGUUGCAAGGAUUCUGGCCCUUUGUUAAGCAAAAAAUAAUAUAGUUACGUUCAUUUCAGAAGCAGGAAUGAGAAGCAUGUGGACCUUUUUUGUUCAAAAUCAGAAGAUUAAAAAAGCUUUAGUAUUAGUAUUUGCUCAAGUCAUAAAAAUUAUAAAUGUCAAAUUAACAGGACUCCAAGUGAGUAGGUGCACACACACACCUUGGAGCGCUGUUCACACCACCUGAUCUUGGGGUAGAGAUCUUUGCUGCCAGACUAGUGUUGUACAGCAUGAAAUUUAUUUUCAUUAAUGGUUGCCGAUUUUGUCCCUGCAGCCUGUGGGGUUUUCUAAACCACGAUACACAAAUAUGCUCUUACCAAUUCCACUACUUUUGAAAUUCCUCAAAUUAAGUUUAUUAGAGCAGUUCUUGCAGUCUCAAAAUAUAUUAAGAAUGUUGUCUUAUGACUGGAGAUGGGUUAGAAUUCUGUGGAGGCUAGAACUUGGUCCCUUCUGAUCCAUUUUUGACUAAAAUUAGUUUUUUUUUCUCCAUAGGUCUAAUCUUUGUUUUCUUAGGGAUCAUUUCAAAUCAACAUGGUUUAAUAAAGUAAUUGAGAAAAUCCAUUCCUUGGAGAACCGUUGCUCCCCAGAAGGGCUUUCAGGCAACCGAUGGAAGCCCAGCCUCUCGUGCUACCCUUUGGGGAGUCUUCUGAAAGGAUUGGCACCAGCCUCCCCUCCAUCACCAGUCACAGUACUGCAAUUCCAGAGAACGGAGAACAGGGCAACCCUAAGAAUAUCUGCAUCUUUGUUGCUGUAAUGAAUCAUUCAAAUUGAGCUUCUUCCCUUCCCGGCAGUUCUCCUGCAGUCACCUGGGCAGCAGGAGGGAGGGCUGGAGCUCCUGUGCAAGGGCCUCUCCCUCUCCCAUUGGGAUGUGGUGGCGGGGUGGGGGGUAAGGGGUGGGGAAGAGAUCCUCCAGUUUCCAAUCCUAUCUGGCCUAUUUUUCAACUCCACCCUUCCUUGGCCAGCUUCUCCCCCAACCCUGGCCCAAAGGCUCCCACACCGCCAGUGCUAGAUUCUCAAGAGCCCCUUAGCCUUGAGUGCCAAGACCACUCGUCCAGACCUGAGGCAAAUCUUAACCCACUCCUUCUGAACCUGAAACGCCCCAGGGGAUGCUGCACCCCCCCCACACACACACAGAGAGCAGCCCAUGGCACUUUACCUUCUUCCGCACGUGUCUCUGUUCCUUUGCACAGAGAUGCAGACCUGGCCAGCAAUGCAUCCUCUCUCUCUGCAGAAAGCUCCACCCCCGGGGCUUCCGCAGCUGCUUCUUCCUACGGCCCUUUCUUAUCAUCAUGGAAGACUCAGUGGUGAGCACAGCAGCCCUGAAAGGAAAGGACCAUCUCCGGCUUCCCAAGGGGAUGCCAGAGAAGAAUGGAAAAGGCAAUACUCUGAACUGCCGAGGGAAAAACUCCUGGGCCUGGAGGGCCACCAGGACCUUAGGACUGUGAGGGCUGGAGGGGUAAUGGGGCUUUUUAGAGGGGGCAGCAAGGAGCACACUCCUUUACUGUGUUGCCAUUUCCUCACAGUUCUGCCUUGGUCAAUUGCAAGGGCUGAUCUCCACAACUAGUCAAUAUGUUCAGCCUUGGUAGCGAUAUUUCCUUCUUUUCAGCAGGAGGAGGGGGCUUUCUCUGGGCCAGGAAUAGUUCCUUUGCCUGUCAGAGAAUUGAACUUAGUUCCAGUCGUAUUUGGAAGCUCAGGGGAGCCUCCUUGAAAUAAACUCUUUUGGCCAAACACCUGGAGCAAAGGAGGUGCCUAUGGAGCAGUGAGAGGCAUCUCCUGCUCAAAGAGCUGGUUCACCCCUUGAGAAUAAAAUUGACCUGACGCAGCAACUGACCUGCUUCUGCCAGAUAUCCUCUGUGAUCCAUUUGGAGACCCUUGAACACACCAAGAAUCAUCUAGGAUAGUAAAGACAGCAAGGCCUCCUAACUGUAGGCCAGCGGUUCCCAACCUUUUCUAUACUCCACACCCCUAGAACGCUUCUGAUAUAUUCUCACACCCCUUAGAAAAAUUCCAAAUAGCCAGGCCAAAUCCCUGCUCUCCAGCACAAGAAGUGCUGAACUGCCUUGGAGCGAAGAGAUGUGGCAGGCAUUCAAUUAGAGCACCCCAAUCAAAUGCCCCAUCUUUCAAACUGGCAAAAUCAGCAGCAUAAAUAGCAGGAUAGUAGCCUCCCAAAGGUACACUGGUCUUACUGCCACAGGGGAGCAGAGCACGAGGCAUCCAUGGGAUGUUAGCUUGGGUUCCUGGAUUGUGGGGGCAUCCAGCCCCCUGACUCUGCACACAAGAGACCCCCAUCUAGCCCUGUCCAUUGUUUAGCAAACUUCUCCAGCCAUGUCACCCACUGUCUCUUGGCUACUUGCCCCUCACAAGAGAGGCUGCAGAGAGAAUGUAAGAUAGUCAGAGGAGCAACCCCCCUCCCCCCAAGAGAUGCCCUUCCACAAGCAGCCUUCCUCAUGCACUGGCAGUCAAUCAGAGCUGAGAGGGACCUUGGAGGUCUUCUAGUUCAACCCCCUGCUCAAGCAGGAGACCCUAUACCAUAGAGAUGUCCUUGAUGUGGCACAGCUGCUGAUUUGGAGGGAUUCACGGCAAGUUGCUCCAUAUAUGCCUCAGCAAAAGGAUAUGCGGGCAAACCACGGGGGCUAUUACAAGUUGCCAGCCUCUUGGCACCCUGAAAAGAGAUCUCCAUGGAUUGAAUUUGGAGGUUUUCAGUUAAUAACAGCUAAUUCGAGAAAUAGCUUGCAUUGCCUCAAAGGAGGCAGUGUAAUGCGUUCAACUCCAACAGUCACAAAUAUUUAUAGUCCCAAAGACAACCUACAAUUACACUUGCCCAUAUCAAGACCUAUUCCUCCCCACUCUCCUUUAUUCUGUUUUUAGUGGGGGAAAAGGCUGCGUCCCAAAGAAUCUUGCCGGAAUAUGGUGUGUGUGGGAACAGCAUCCAGAAAGCUGAUUUUUAAGGAAGAGUUUAAUUCCUCCUGCUCUGAAGUUCUGAGCAACACAAACAUCACAUUGGUAUCCUAGGGGUUCAGCUGAAGCGAAGCAGAGGCAGCAGGAAGGGCCCAAAUAAGCAAAAUAAAGGUACGUGCGCGCACGCGCACACACACACCAGAGCAACAGGCAUACAAUCCACAGAACUGCUGCCCAGAACCCAGCCGAAGGGCCAUGGGAGCAGAGGCAGCAUGCUCCGGCUGUAAAGAUCUCUGCUUUUCUGGGAGCCCUGUUUCUCCUCUCCUCAAGCACUCUGAAAACCUUUGGGAUGGGGAUCAUGGUCUUCUGCUUUUACCUCUCAAAGGAAGGCAGGCCCCAUUGCUCUGAAAUGAUCUCCACUGCUGUCAGGUAGAAAAGGUGCCAAGAGACACUCCUGAAAGUAACUGGGCAGAAUGCCCCAGGAUCACAAGCUGCAUAAAUCCCCUGGGAAGCCUUUAAAACAGGGGUGUCAAACUGCCGGCCCGCGGGCUGCACACGUCAAGAGGAAACUGGGCCCACUACAUUGCUGGCAAUGGGGGAAAAGCUGAUAUGUUGUGCGACAUCACGUGACAUUGCGAGUUUCACAUGUCUGCUUUAAAAGAAAGAGGUAGGGGACACUCCAACCCGCCCAUUAGGAAAUGAACGACAUAAAAGGGGUGGCGAGGAAGAGGCAGGCAAGUUCCAAUCAAGGCACACUCCAAAUGUGGGCAUUUUUUUGGGCAAAGGCCUCUCUCUGCAUACUCUUGAACCAAGUGACCACCCUAACAAAAUUGCAAUCCUGACCUUUUGCACAAUUAGCUGCCACACCCUCCCAAGGACACAUGACGGAUGACCUGAAACACUGGUUCUAUUCUCUUCCAAGUGAAAGCAGGUCAAUAACUUCACAAGAAACAUAAUUUGCAUAAAAGCACCCCAGUCAAUGGACAGGCUGAGAAUAUGAACCAUGAUCGCUCUCCCCUCCCCCUCCAAACACUGAGAAAUAGAAAG
This is a long non-coding RNA of Crotalus tigris (Tiger rattlesnake), 4518 nucleotides long. RefSeq lists it as uncharacterized. The record is from RefSeq and is a predicted model, not a curated record. The transcript is spliced from 2 exons. Lineage: Eukaryota; Metazoa; Chordata; Lepidosauria; Squamata; Viperidae.